CAGCCGCCGCGGGAAUACGAAGGGGGCUAGCGUUGUUCGGAAUUACUGGGCGUAAAGCGCACGUAGGCGGAUAUUUAAGUCAGGGGUGAAAUCCCGCAGCUCAACUGCGGAACUGCCUUUGAUACUGGGUAUCUUGAGUAUGGAAGAGGUUAGUGGAAUUGCGAGUGUAGAGGUGAAAUUCGUAGAUAUUCGCAGGAACACCAGUGGCGAAGGCGGCUAACUGGUCCAUAACUGACGCUGAGGUGCGAAAGCGUGGGGAGCAAACAGGAUUAGAGACCCCCGUAGUCCCUGUCUCUUAUAC
This 301-nucleotide ribosomal RNA is filed under the name uncultured bacterium. RNAcentral describes it as "partial 16S ribosomal RNA". It matches the Rfam family "Bacterial small subunit ribosomal RNA", at positions 509 to 807 of the family's 1533-position model. The record is from RNAcentral.